This 570-nucleotide long non-coding RNA is filed under the name Salmo salar (Atlantic salmon). RNAcentral's name for it is "lncRNA (ENSSSAG00000098431.1, ENSSSAG00000098960.1)". Lineage: Eukaryota; Metazoa; Chordata; Actinopteri; Salmoniformes; Salmonidae. The record is from RNAcentral.
AUCGGCCAAACGAUUGAAGAUUGAUAUUCGGAUGUUUUUUCAGUGCAAUGCUUCACUGUCAUGGUGCACAGUAGAGAUCUGCACGGAUUGGUUUCUUCAUCCUGCUCCCGCUUGCACCAGCUGGCUUUCUGUUCGACUCCCACCCGCUACCGGCAAAGAAGCCAAGAAGAAAAACAAAUCUACUAAGGGACGCGCUGCUGUAACUGGCAAGCUGCCUUUCCAGAACACGUGCUGAUGCUAUAACUAGUGAGACUGAAUGUCAACAAGGUCCAGGAGAAACAGGAGAGCUACCAGAGGAGAAUCAAGACCAAGUUCUUUGACAUCCGGGCGAAUGACUUGGUUUGGAAGAAGGACCAAAGAAAGGCGAGACCUGGGAAAACUUUCUGCUCUUUCGCUCCUAGCUGGGGUCACCAUCUAUUAAAUUAAGGAGCUAGGGGUUCAGCCUAACACCCAGAUGAGGAUCCACCUGAUGUCCUCCAUUACCAACCACCCUCCAACUUUUCAUUAUAUAAUCUACAGCUACUCUUAUUGGCAUUAUCUGCUAAGAAAGCUUGCUUGCUUUAUCAUACU